GAACGGGGACGACCCCGUUCGCAUCACUUCAUCCGGGGACGGCCCCA
This 47-nucleotide non-coding RNA is filed under the name Lysobacter antibioticus. RNAcentral describes it as "Guanidine-II sequence". It matches the Rfam family "Guanidine-II riboswitch aptamer (mini-ykkC)". Rfam says of the family: Simpler in structure and has fewer highly conserved nucleotide positions than the ykkC-yxkD leader. Despite this each of its two stem-loop structures directly bind free guanidine. The record is from Rfam by way of RNAcentral. Lineage: Bacteria; Pseudomonadati; Pseudomonadota; Gammaproteobacteria; Lysobacterales; Lysobacteraceae.